CCUAGCCUUAAACCAAAUUGCAAAACUAAACCGUGACAACCUCAGCUCACACUAGAGUGUCCCUAAUAUAACCAAAUUAAGAACUUAACCCUUUGACAACCUCCGCUCACACUAAGGAGUGUGCCUACAAAUAACCAGAGGUAGAAAAUAAGAGGGACAGGGUUCAAUAGGAGAAAUAAAUAAAAGGUGCUACCAGUGUUAGGCAUGUGAGUGUAAGAAAAGUGUUAAAAUAUAUUGAAAAAGACAAACCCCGACGUCCGUUUUGGUGUGAAGACAGACCUUUGUCACUAGGUCCAAAGCAGUUGUUUUUGUUCUAGCAGUCUGUCUUUCUAUAGCCCUUACUGUUUAUAGCUGCUGUCUUAGGCUAAGGAUUCCCAGGGUAGAACAGUGGGUUUUGUAGUUUGCAAUCACUGCACUGUAUAUAUGUUUUCACUUUCGCCACUUAGCUUGGUG
Molecule: non-coding RNA, 453 nt
Organism: Pelobates cultripes (western spadefoot toad)
Lineage: Eukaryota; Metazoa; Chordata; Amphibia; Anura; Pelobatidae
Source: the annotation of a GenBank genome assembly